AGACCCAAUGUGAAACUCUUCAAUGCUGUUGCUGUUGAGGAUUUAAUUGUGAGGGGAGAUAGAGUGGCCGGAGUGGUAACAAAUUGGGCUUUGGUAUCGAUGAACCAUGACACACAAUCGUGCAUGGACCCGAAUGUUAUGGAGGCUAAGGUGGUGGUGAGUUCUUGUGGGCAUGACGGCCCAUUUGGGGCUACUGGAGUUAAGAGGCUGAGGAGUAUCGGAAUGAUUGAAAGUGUGCCGGGGAUGAAGGCGCUAGAUAUGAAUGCGGCUGAGGAUGCCAUUGUUAAGCUUACCAGGGAGAUUGUGCCCGGGAUGAUUGUUACCGGUAUGGAAGUUGCAGAGAUUGAUGGAUCACCAAGAAUGGUAAUUAUAUUGUUUAUUUUUUGGUUGAGUUUAGUUUGUUAGACUUUAAAAUUAAAUAUACAUUUGAAGUGAAUUUGCGAAAUUAAUUUUAAAUUAGUAUAAACUCCUAUUAUAACUACUAGUAUUUUUUUAGUUAGUUUCAAUAUAUAUAGUUAUUUGUACUAUAAUUUAAUAAAUUCACCAAGAAUGGUAAUUAUUUUGUGGUAGAAUUUUUGUUAGAUUCAAAAUUAGAGAUAUAUUUUAAUUUUUUGAUCGAUUUGUAAAGUUUUAAAAUUCAAAAUUGAUAUAAACUCUUUUAGUUUCUAAUAAUAAGUUCUACUAAAAUUAAAUAAAUGCUAAUUUUGAAUUUAGAAAUUUAUUUCAAAAAGUCAAAAUUUAUCUUCAGUUUUGGACUGAGGGAGUAAUUAAUUUACUAAUUUAUUGGGAUUUAAUUAUAAUUAGAAAUGCUGAAUUUUGAUUUUUGUUUGAUGAAAUGUAUAUUUUGGUAUGCAGGGUCCAACAUUUGGGGCUAUGAUGAUGUCUGGACAGAAGGCUGCCCAUUUGGCAUUGAGGGCAUUAGGGCUGCCAAAUGCUUUGCAGGAGGCCCAACCAGAGUUCAUUAUUGCAGAUGCAGCAGAUGAGAUUGUUGAUGCCUAAACAUUUUAAUUGUUUUGGAAUAUGAUUUCUUCGAAGAAAAUCGGGCAAUAAGUCUUUGUCCAAGAAUAAAUAAGACUGUAAAAUGAGUAAACAAUUCGGACUCGAUUCGUACUCGUUCGAUUAAAAGUUUGAUUCGAACUCGACUCGAAAUAUAAAUGAUUUAAAUAUGAGCA
RNAcentral lists this long non-coding RNA (1172 nucleotides) under Panax ginseng (ginseng). RNAcentral describes it as "long non-coding RNA (PGIN_LNC012036)". Lineage: Eukaryota; Viridiplantae; Streptophyta; Magnoliopsida; Apiales; Araliaceae. The record is from RNAcentral.